CGAGAUGCGGGGUAUGGGUUUAUUAGCCCCAGUAAAAUGACUUGCUCCCUUAGAAUUCUUCGCAUAAAGUCACGAACUGUAGUUCAAUAUAUUUUUUAUUUCUCUGAUACACCUCUCAUUAGAUAAAUGGAUCUGGAUCUGAAAAAUAUAUACUAAUGGUCAACAAAAGUAGAGUAGUCCCUUUGGAAAGGGCAAAAGGGAAUAAAAGCACGGCUAAAAUAUAUACCAUUCAUGCCCUGUCUCAACAAUUUCUGCAUCUCAUCAUAAUUAAAACAUGAUUCGCAUCUAAUCAGAACUAAAAACCAGUUAACAGCUCGAUCAAUGCCAGCAUUUAAAAUCUAAACACCCUACAAUCCUGUAAUGCAAUAACAAAGAAAAACUGAAUAGUGGUUGUCCCCCUUGAUUCUUCAACAUGUCCUCUCUUCUGCCUCCCUAUCCUACAAUACAACAACCAAGAAAUAGAGCAAUUAAUCAUAAGCGCAUAGCAAUAAGACCAAAAAGAUUGGUUCAGUUGAACUAUUAGUAAGCAGGAGACACGACGAAGAUCAAGAAUUUACAGACAUCAUGUGCAAACAUGCAACAUAUCAUCAUUGCAGUACUGCCGCAAGUAUCGAUCACUAAUUACAAUAUCAUGACAGAAUGCUCAUGUGGCCAUUCUUAUCCCAAGAUAUGCCACCUUCUUCUAUGUGGCAUAUUCUAAUGCAAGUAUGGACCAAGAAUAUGUUCUAAUUACUUGCUAGCACUCCAAGAUAAUUAUAGAACAUGCAAGUAUGGGCCAGCGAAUCGAUUAUAUGUGCAGGUACAAAAGAUAAAGUGGAUAACCAGCCAAUUAGAUAAAACUGUAAAAAAAAUAAACACCUGACUGUACUUCCACUGAAGCUAUUGCAGCAUAGGUAGUUUUUUGCUCUUGGUCUGCACCAAUGGACCCAAGGUAUCAUGCUCUUGUGUUAGAGAAUACCAUGUUUUCUUUUUUAUUCUUUGUUUAUAUUGGCAUGUGAAAUGCAAUUCACCACUUUGUACUCAGACUUGUUUUGCCCAUACACCAGAAGCACCAGAAGGCAAACAUAAACAAUAAACAGGAGGCAACAAUGAAUUAAAAAAACAGAGGAUAUGCAUAUGCUAAUGAAUUAAAAGUAAACAUUUGGAAAUAUCCCAAAUGGUAAANNNNNNNNNNNNNNNNNNNNNNNNNNNNNNNNNNNNNNNNNNNNNNNNNNNNNNNNNNNNNNNNNNNNNNNNNNNNNNNNNNNNNNNNNNNNNNNNNNNNAAGAUCUGGGCAAGAAGGAAUGGAAAAAUACAAACCUAUAUUAUACAUACUAUUACAGUUCGAUAUGAAGAUUCUCAAGAGAAAUGUGUAAACUAAAAUACUAAAAAGAAUCAUAGCCAAUUAAAAAAUGGCUGCAUACACAUAUACAGAUUUUCAGGAGAAAUGUGUAAACUAAAACACCUAACAAAUAUUUGAAUCAUGUAUAUGCAAAGCACAUUGCUAGCACGACCCACCAUGCAAAUGAUCAUCAUAAAUACUUGUGAAGCUGUCUCAAGACCCUCUCCCAUUUGAAGCCGCACCUCCCUGUCUCUCCUGCAGAUCGAAUCCAGCGCUGCCGCCAUCGCCGGGAAGCUCGCCUCCGCACCCGGGGCAGACGAGAUGCGGGGUAUGGGUUUAUUAGCCCCAGUAAAAUGACUUGCUCCCUUAGAAUUCUUCGCAUAAAGUCACGAACUGUAGUUCAAUAUAUUUUUUAUUUCUCUGAUACACCUCUCAUUAGAUAAAUGGAUCUGGAUCUGAAAAAUAUAUACUAAUGGUCAACAAAAGUAGAGUAGUCCCUUUGGAAAGGGCAAAAGGGAAUAAAAGCACGGCUAAAAUAUAUACCAUUCAUGCCCUGUCUCAACAAUUUCUGCAUCUCAUCAUAAUUAAAACAUGAUUCGCAUCUAAUCAGAACUAAAAACCAGUUAACAGCUCGAUCAAUGCCAGCAUUUAAAAUCUAAACACCCUACAAUUCUGUAAUGCAAUAGCAAAGAAAAACUGAAUAGUGGUUGUCCCCCUUGAUUCUUCAACAUGUCCUCUCUUCUGCCUCCCUAUCCUACAAUACAACAACCAAGAAAUAGAGCAAUUAAUCAUAAGCGCAUAGCAAUAAGACCAAAAAGAUUGGUUCAGUUGAACUAUUAGUAAGC
RNAcentral lists this long non-coding RNA (2166 nucleotides) under Triticum aestivum (bread wheat). RNAcentral's name for it is "long non-coding RNA (TAES_LNC019096)". The record is from RNAcentral. Lineage: Eukaryota; Viridiplantae; Streptophyta; Magnoliopsida; Poales; Poaceae.